UACAGAGGGGGCAAGCGUUGUUCGGAAUUACUGGGCGUAAAGGGCGCGUAGGCGGCCUUCUAAGUCGAACGUGAAAUCCCCGGGCUCAACCCGGGAACUGCGUCCGAGACUGGAAGGCUUGAAUCCGGGAGAGGGAUGUGGAAUUCCAGGUGUAGCGGUGAAAUUCGUAGAUAUCGGGAGGAACACCGGUGGCGAAGGCGGCGACCUGGGUAGAUACUGACGCUGAGGUGCGAAAGCGUGGGGAGCAAACAGG
RNAcentral lists this ribosomal RNA (253 nucleotides) under uncultured bacterium. RNAcentral's name for it is "partial 16S ribosomal RNA". It matches the Rfam family "Bacterial small subunit ribosomal RNA", at positions 524 to 776 of the family's 1533-position model. The record is from RNAcentral.